AUGUCGCCCUCCAGGCGAGAGACAACGUUUCCAACGCAGCAGGGUCCAGGCCUAGAGCAGGCAGCAGGAAGGGAGAGGGGCACACACAACAUACACAACCACACCACACACUCCAUCCCACACCACACACCCCAUCACAUCCCACACCACACACACCAAAAACACCCCGUUACACACACCACACACCCCAUCACAACACACACCCCAUCACACCCCACAUCACACACACCAUACCACACACAUACCAUCAUGUCACACACCACACACCCCAUCAUACAACACACAACCAUACCACACAUCCCAUCACACAUGACACACCACAAUACACACAUCCCAACACGCAACACAUUCCAUCACACACCAGACACCCCAUACACACCACACACAACACACUCCAUCACACACCAUUACACACACAACCACACCACACACCCCAUCACACACAUUCCAUCACACCACACACCCCAUCACACACACUCCAUCACACCACACACAUCCCAUCACAGACCACAACACGUACACUCCACACACCACACACCCCAUCACACAAUACACAACCAUACCACACAUCCCAUCACACAGCAUGACACAACCACAAUACACACAUCCCAUCACACACUUCACACACCACAACCACAUCACACACCACAACCACACCACACACCCUAUCACACCACACACCAUCACAGUCACACCACACACCGCAUCACACAACGCAACCACGGCACACAUACCCCAUCACACACACAACCAUACCACAAUCACACCACCACACAACACGUAACCACAGCACACACAUCCUAUAAACACACAACCUCACACCCCAUCACACACACACCACAAUCACCCCUGCCACACACAUCACACAACCACACCACACCCCUCUACACACACCCCAUAGUCUCACACACACACACACACACACACACACACACGGAGGUUCCCUGCGAGAACUGUCUUGGGAGACUGGCCUGGCCCGGCCGUGCUGAAUCCUCUAGGGCGAGCGUGAGCCGCCGGCGGCCCAGGCAGACUCUUGUUCCGGGACUCGGCCGGCCGCGGCCCUGA
This 1065-nucleotide long non-coding RNA is filed under the name Callithrix jacchus (white-tufted-ear marmoset). RNAcentral describes it as "lncRNA (ENSCJAG00000082977.1)". The record is from RNAcentral. Lineage: Eukaryota; Metazoa; Chordata; Mammalia; Primates; Cebidae.